RNAcentral lists this long non-coding RNA (282 nucleotides) under Elaeis guineensis (African oil palm). Its description in RNAcentral is "long non-coding RNA (EGUI_LNC061892)". Lineage: Eukaryota; Viridiplantae; Streptophyta; Magnoliopsida; Arecales; Arecaceae. The record is from RNAcentral.
CGAAGAAGAGAGUUCUGGAACUAACCUAGACUGGUCCAAGAAGUGCAGAGAUGCAGAGAAGGGGAUCGACUCGAAGAACGCCUAAGGCUGAAGGGGAUGGAGCUCUCGGGGAAGAAGAAGAAGGGCACCAACAGGAGGCAAAGUGAAAUUCCUGAAAGGGGGGAGCGGGUUUAAAUAGGCAACAGGGCCCGAUGCAGUAAUGAUUGCGGAUAUCCUCUGGCCGACCUACACUCGCCGCGUGUCCCACUCACCAUGACAGGCUGCUGAAAAUGGCUGACAGCU